ACUAUAUCGAAGGCGCAGUAUCCUAGUCAACUAGGCUGGACGAGAAUGCUGAAACAAGCAUUGUUGGCACAACGAUGAAGUUUCUGGUGCUGGCUUUGAUUGCCCAAAUUGGGGCUGGUGCUGGGAGUUAAGGUUCUUGGGUGGUAUGUAACGGCAUACGUAUUCAAACCCAAUUAUCGCGGAGACCCAAGUGGGUAGAAUGUGAUGGUAUGUAUAUCCUUUCUAUCGCUUGGAUUGGGAACCUGCAUACGGCGAAAGUUGUGUGCAGUGUAGCCUGCUUUGAGUGCUCAAAUCGGGAUAGAGCGACAACUUAUGUUAAGCGCAAAGUACACGUGUUAAUGUAAGUUGCUUUUGAAAUUUUGAGCGCAAAAUAAAGAUAAGUCUUGUUGAUGUUGUUAAGGAAAACUUCUAGGCUGUUCGUAAGAAAUGCUUUGGGGAUUAUAGUGUGGUCUCAGUGGCGAUUCGGUGAAAGUUUUGCGUAAAAGGAAACUGCUUUGCUGGUAACGGCAAAGUGCAAAAUUGGGAAAUCCAACCGAACCUCAUGCCGCAAGGUUUACUCAAAGUACUGCCUUCGUUAUUUUUAA
RNAcentral lists this small RNA (584 nucleotides) under human gut metagenome. The record is from RNAcentral.